GCUUCAUUAGUAUAUUUAGUAUAUUUGAUUUCCAAUCAAAGGGGCCUUGUUAAAAGUCAAGGAUGAAAUA
RNAcentral lists this transfer RNA (70 nucleotides) under Aphelasterias japonica. RNAcentral describes it as "tRNA-Gly". Lineage: Eukaryota; Metazoa; Echinodermata; Asteroidea; Forcipulatida; Asteriidae. The record is from RNAcentral.